AGAGUUUGAUCAUGGCUCAGGAUGAACGUUGGCGGCGUGCCUAACACAUGCAAGUCGAACGGAAAUAGCAAUAUUUGAGUGGUGCACGGGUGAGUAACACGUAGCUAAUCUACCUCAAAGCGCGGGAUAACGUGUCGAAAGACAGGCUAAUACCGCAUAAGCUCGCGAUCUGUAGAGGGUUGCGAGAAAAGGCGUAAGUCACUUUGAGAUGAGGCUGCGGCCCAUCAGCUAGUUGGGGUGGUAAAAGCACACCAAGGCGACGACGGGUAGGGGACCUGAGAGGGUGACCCCCCACACUGGGGACUGAGACACGGCCCAGACUCCUACGGGAGGCAGCAGUGAGGAAUAUUGCACAAUGGGCGAAAGCCUGAUGCAGCGACGCCGCGUGGGUGAAGAAGGUUUUCGGAUCGUAAAACCCUUUUCUGUGUGACGAGCAAGGACGGUAGCACAGGAAUAAGUCUCGGCUAACUACGUG
RNAcentral lists this ribosomal RNA (475 nucleotides) under uncultured bacterium. RNAcentral's name for it is "bacterial SSU rRNA". It matches the Rfam family "Bacterial small subunit ribosomal RNA", at positions 8 to 507 of the family's 1533-position model. The record is from RNAcentral.